GAUGAACGCUGGCGGCGUGCCUAAUACAUGCAAGUCGAGCGAACAGAUAAGGAGCUUGCUCCUUUGACGUUAGCGGCGGACGGGUGAGUAACACGUGGGUAACCUACCUAUAAGACUGGGAUAACUUCGGGAAACCGGAGCUAAUACCGGAUAACAUUUGGAACCGCAUGGUUCUAAAGUGAAAGAUGGUUUUGCUAUCACUUAUAGAUGGACCCGCGCCGUAUUAGCUAGUUGGUAAGGUAACGGCUUACCAAGGCGACGAUCCGUAGCCGACCUGAGAGGGUGAUCGGCCACACUGGAACUGAGACACGGUCCAGACUCCUACGGGAGGCAGCAGUAGGGAAUCUUCCGCAAUGGGCGAAAGCCUGACGGAGCAACGCCGCGUGAGUGAUGAAGGGUUUCGGCUCGUAAAACUCUGUUAUUAGGGAAGAACAAAUGUGUAAGUAACUGUGCACGUCUUGACGGUACCUAGUCAGAAAGCCACGGCUAACUACGUG
This 497-nucleotide ribosomal RNA is filed under the name uncultured bacterium. RNAcentral's name for it is "partial 16S ribosomal RNA". It matches the Rfam family "Bacterial small subunit ribosomal RNA", at positions 28 to 507 of the family's 1533-position model. The record is from RNAcentral.